AGAGGAAAGAGUAAAUUAUGUAAGAAAAGUGUUGUGUGUGUGCCUGCGUGUGUGCGUGUCUGCCUGCGUGUGUGCCUGCGGUGGAGGGGGCGAUGUGCCUGCGUGUGUGCCUGCGUGUGUGUGUGUGCCUGCGUGUGUACCUGCGUGUCUGCCUGCGUGUGUGCUUGCGGUGGCGGGGGCGGGGGCGAUGUGCCUGCGUGUGUGCGUGUGUGCGUGUCUGCCUGCGUGUGUG
RNAcentral lists this long non-coding RNA (232 nucleotides) under Homo sapiens (human). Its description in RNAcentral is "non-protein coding lnc-ZNF236-10:1". Lineage: Eukaryota; Metazoa; Chordata; Mammalia; Primates; Hominidae. The record is from RNAcentral.